RNAcentral lists this ribosomal RNA (155 nucleotides) under Hypoxylon cinnabarinum. RNAcentral describes it as "5.8S ribosomal RNA". It matches the Rfam family "5.8S ribosomal RNA". From Rfam's summary of the family: 5.8S ribosomal RNA (5.8S rRNA) is a component of the large subunit of the eukaryotic ribosome. RNAcentral also lists the same sequence under 1 other name. The record is from RNAcentral. Lineage: Eukaryota; Fungi; Ascomycota; Sordariomycetes; Xylariales; Hypoxylaceae.
AACUUUCAACAACGGAUCUCUUGGUUCUGGCAUCGAUGAAGAACGCAGCGAAAUGCGAUAAGUAAUGUGAAUUGCAGAAUUCAGUGAAUCAUCGAAUCUUUGAACGCACAUUGCGCCCACCAGCAUUCUGGUGGGCAUGCCUAUUCGAGCGUCAU